CGGGGAGGACCGCCGGGGAGGACCGCCGGGGAGGAUCGCGGGAAGCCGACUCCGCCUGCGUGCUCCCGGCGCGUUGCUGCUGCUCACGCUCCUGUGCUCCUCACAAGGCCCUCAUGAAGGAGGAUGGCCGAGAAGGCACUGAUGUCACCAGAUGGCAGUGUCCACCCUGCAGACAAGCCUACAUGAUCCUGACACUGGGAAUCAGCGAUCACUCCCCUAAAUUUGUUAGGAUGCUCCGGGCUACAGACAUUCUGAGCUUGGGGAUUAUUUAAAUCACCUAAGAUGAGCUGUUUGGGGAGUGACAGAGAGAGAGAAUCUCAAGC
Molecule: long non-coding RNA, 323 nt
Organism: Hyaena hyaena (striped hyena)
Lineage: Eukaryota; Metazoa; Chordata; Mammalia; Carnivora; Hyaenidae
Exons: 3
Source: RefSeq, a predicted model, not a curated record